GAUGAAGAACGUAGCGAAAUGCGAUACGUAAUGUGAAUUCCAGAAUUCAGUGAAUCAUCGAAUCUUUGAACGCAUAUUGCGCUCUUUGGUAUUCCGAAGAGCAUGCUUGUUUGAGUAUCAGUAAACACCUCAAAGCUUUUGGAUUUUUUAAUCGAAAAGCUUUGGACUUGAGCAAUCCCAACACCAAUCUUUUUGAGAUCGGUGGCGGGUUGCUUGAAAUGCAGGUGCAGCUGGACAUUCUCCUGAGCUAAAAGCAUAUUCAUUUAGUCCCGUCAAACGGAUUAUUACUUUUGCUGCAGCUAACAUAAAGGGAGUUUGACCGUAUUGGCUGACUGAUGCAGGAUUUCACAAGGGUCGGCAACGAUUCUUGUUAAACUCGAUCUCAAAUCAAGUAAGACUACCCGCUGAACUUAAGCAUAUCAAUAAGCGGAGGA
Molecule: unclassified non-coding RNA, 434 nt
Filed under: soil metagenome
Description: partial contains 5.8S ribosomal RNA, internal transcribed spacer 2, and large subunit ribosomal RNA
Rfam family: 5.8S ribosomal RNA (bases 1-120)
Source: RNAcentral